Molecule: ribosomal RNA, 253 nt
Filed under: uncultured bacterium
Lineage: Bacteria
Description: partial 16S ribosomal RNA
Rfam family: Bacterial small subunit ribosomal RNA
Source: RNAcentral
UACGGGGGGGGCAAGCGUUGUUCGGAAUUAUUGGGCGUAAAGGGCGCGUAGGCGGCUUUGCAAGUGACGGGUGAAAGCCCUCGGCUUAACCGAGGAACUGCCUGUCAGACUGUGAGGCUUGAGACCGGGAGAGGUGAGUGUAAUUCCCAGUGUAGCGGUGAAAUGCGUAGAUAUUGGGAGGAACACCAGUGGCGAAGGCGGCUCACUGGACCGGAACUGACGCUGAGGCGCGAAAGCGUGGGGAGCAAACAGG